GCGACCCGGCACCGGCGGCGACACCGAGUAGCCGGGUGGACCAGGCUCUGUCGUGUUCCGGGGCUCGGGAGCGGGGUUCUCCUCCGGCUCCUGGGAGUCCUGCAAGGACAGGCACCGCAGGGGUCAGCGGACAGACCGCUGACCCAAUCUGGAAGCGCAUCUCUUUCUAGAUGGCCCUGGGACUACAGGGAUGGGGGUCCCUCGGUACCCUUCACACUCCUGGCUUUUCCUGGUUGGGUGCUUUCUGCCAGCAAGAUGAACCUGACUGAAACAAUGGCCAACCAAGACUGUGUGAAUGGACUCUAAGAACAAAUGGUGGGAAUGAACUGUAAGAAUGACUUGUGGGAAUGAACUAUGGAAAAGAACUGUGGGAAUAUUCCUUAUGGAUCUUAGAAAUAACUUUUCUGAGAUAUUGCUAUGAGAUGCUUUUUCUAUUAAGUUCCUGACUUAUAACUUGCCCUGAAGAACUGCCACAGAUGUGUUGAAGACCACAGGUGGGCUUAGUGUGGCGGCGUUUGUGAACAGAGUGAGUGUGUUCUGUAUCAGCAGAGUCUAACGGGCCGUACACCUAAAUCUCUUCCUGUGCAAAUGUUUAAUGAAUUAUUGCCCUUUACUCAUGUGUUGCCUGUCCUUUGCCCAUGUGUUGUAGUCAGUUUAUGUUGAAGGUAUGAUCAUCCAAUAAGACACAGUUUAGGGAAGAAAGGGAUUUGUUUCAAGUUUACAGAUCCUUAGGAAGUUCUAUCAAUGGUGGAAGAAGCCAGCUCCCUUUCACAGAUCCAAACAGAGAGAAAAACCACUAACCAGCUAGCAAACACCAAAAAACAGCAAGCACAAAUCCACAAACUGGCAGCAAGCAGGACCCCUAGAACUCAUGACUCCUCUACAUACUUUUGGGCUGGAAUUCAGAUCUGGUGUGAGUGACAUGCCCCCUCCAGUAGGCUUCUGGAGACUUAAGCAGGAAGUUUAACCUUAAUAAAAAAAAAAUACCUGAGGGUAUGAGGACAUACAUUCAAACUAUCAUACCAUGUAAUACUAAUUCUUCAUGCAUUAUUAUUAUUAUUAUUUGCUGUUCACUAAAAACACUAUUGAGUGCCUGUAAGAGGAAGAUACAACUGCAGAAACAUCAGAGCAGCCGUGACAGCAGCAGCAGCAGCAGCAGGCUGACCCUUGGUUUGGAUGAUUACAAGGGUCAGUUUUUCUUCUUUCAGGCUCCACUCUAAAAAGCAGCAUUCCACUCUAAAAAGGCCCACUCUUGGGUGAACAAAUCCAACACUCAAUUUCUAUAAUUCCUGAACUAUGGUCCCCAAUUGGGCACAAGAUGACUACCAAGGGAUCCCCCUUCCCCAAUUCCUGAAUUCUACACUUCUCCAUCCCUAAGCUUAGGAAUGAUCCUUUCCUCCAUAAAAGUUUGUCCACAUGACACAGUCCCAAACCUGGGGUGGUGUGACUCUCUCUAGAGAAGCCCAUACUCCCUCUUGAGAUGUACUUUCACUUCUCUCAAUUCCUUACUGCGUCUCAUGUCUGAAUUCUUAUGUGAUGAUGGCAAGAAUCUUAAACAUUGGGUAGAGGUCUGCAGUUUAUCUCUCAGACCUCCCUAGAAUUCAGUUCUGCCAACAAUCUGAGAAAACACUGCUUCCCAUUCCCUGCUAAUGUUACUGUAUAGGUAUGCCAUGUGUUAUAUAAAUGUUGGGGCUAUUA
Jaculus jaculus (lesser Egyptian jerboa) is the source of this 1698-nucleotide long non-coding RNA. RefSeq lists it as uncharacterized. Lineage: Eukaryota; Metazoa; Chordata; Mammalia; Rodentia; Dipodidae. The record is from RefSeq and is a predicted model, not a curated record. The transcript has 2 exons.